GCAACAACAACAACAACAAAAACUGGAAUGAUACAGAGAAGAUUAUCAUCGCUCCUGUGCAAGGAUGGCACAUAAAUUAAUGAAGUAUUCCAUAUUUUU
Molecule: small nuclear RNA, 99 nt
Filed under: Tupaia belangeri chinensis (Chinese tree shrew)
Lineage: Eukaryota; Metazoa; Chordata; Mammalia; Scandentia; Tupaiidae
Source: RNAcentral